Molecule: small RNA, 354 nt
Filed under: Drosophila ananassae
Lineage: Eukaryota; Metazoa; Arthropoda; Insecta; Diptera; Drosophilidae
Description: GF26529
Source: RNAcentral
GAGGUGCGAAAACAGCGUGUUCUUAAUUGCAGAGAAAUUUGAUGGUGAAAUUCGUGCAGGUGCUCCAGCAAGAUCUUUGCAAGAGGCUGGAAUAAAGUACCGUUUACUGGUGACAGCACCCCAGUACAUACAGACACUGGAACGAAUGUGAAAAGGAACAUAAAUAUAAUUUUAAUGGAUGCCAUGGAAAAUAUAUUUUUUGCCGGAUUGUGGAUGGAAGCGUAAAGUACCGCUAACUUGGAGCAGCUUAAAAAAUAUAUUUUAUGAAAAAACAUUACAAUGGGAUUAUACAUAUACACACAGAAAUAUUUAAUGAACCAACGGAAUAACAGUCACUGGACACUCACCUGUUCG